UAGGUGCCGAUCUAGGAGCAGGUGUCGGUGUCAUCCUUGGAGCUGGCGUCGGAGCAGGCGUAGGAGAUGGCGCCGGUGGAGCCCUAGGUGCUGGGGUAGGUGCGGAUCUAGGAGCAGGUGUCGGUGCCGGUGUCGGUGCCAUCCUAGGAGAAGGAGUGGGAGCAGGCAUAGGAGAUGGCGCCUGUGGAGCCGUUGGUGCUAGUGGUAGGUGCGGAUCUAGGAGCAGGUGCCGGUUCCGGUGUCGGUGCUGUCCUUGGAGCAGGCGUGGGAGCAGGCGUAGGAGAAGGCGCCUGUGGAGCCCUAGGUGCUGGGGUAGGUGCAGAUCUAGGAGCAGGUGUUGGAGCCGUCCAUUGGAGCUGGCGUGGGAGCUGGCGUAGGAGAUGGCGCCUGUGGAGCCCUAGGUGCUGGGGUAGGUGCGGAUGUAGGAGCCGGUGUCGGUGCCGUCAUUGGAGAAGCCGUGGGAGCAGGCGUAGGAGAUGGCGCCUGUGGAGCCAUAGGUGCUGGGGUAGGUGCGGAUUUAGGAGCAGGUGCCGGUGCCGGUGUCGGUGCCGUCCUUGGAGGUGGCGUGGGAGCAGGCGUAGGAGAUGGCGCCUGUGGAGCCCUCUGUGCCGGGGUAGGUGCGGAUCUAGGAGCAGGUGUCGGUGCCGUCCUUGGAGCUGGUGUGGGAGCAGGCGUAGGAGAUGGCGCCUGUGGAGCCCUAGGUGCCGGCGUAGGUGCGGAUCUAGGAGCAGGUGUCGGUGCCGAUAUCGGUGCCGUCCUUGGAGCUGGCGUAGGAGAUGGCGCCUGUGGAGCCCUAGGUGCUGGGGUAGGUGCGGAUCUAGGAGCAAGUGUCGGUGCCGUCCUUGGAGCUGGCAUGGGAGCAGGCGUAGGAGAUGGCGCCUGUGGAGCCCUAGGUGCUGGGGUAGGUGCGGAUCUAGGAGCAGGUGUUGGUGCCGUCCUUGGAGCUGGCGUGGGAGCUGGCGUGGGAGCAGGCGUAGGAGAUGGCGCCUGUGGAGCCCUAGGAGCUGGGGUAGGUGAGGAUCUAGGAGCAGGUGUUGGUGUCGUUGUCGGUGCCGUCCUUGGAGGUGGCAUUGGCGCAGGCGUCGGAGAUGGCGCCUGUGGAGCCCUAGGUGCUGGGGUAGGUGCGGAUCUAGGAGCAGGUGUUGGUGCCGUCCUUGGAGCUGGCGUGGGCGCAGGUGUAGGAGAUAGCGCCUGUGGAGCCCUAGGGGCUGGGGUAGGUGCCGAUCUAGGAGCAGGAGUGGGUGCAGAUCUCGGAGCUGGUGAUGGUGCAAUCCUAGGAGCUGGCGUGGGAGCAGACCUUGGGGGUGAUCGCUUGGCCUGCGAAGAUGGCACAAGCACGAGUGCCACGACCAGGAGCAGGAGCCCAGGGUAAGUUAUAGACCUGGACGCCAUUGCUAGCCGCGGAUGC
This 1408-nucleotide long non-coding RNA is filed under the name Setaria italica (foxtail millet). RNAcentral's name for it is "long non-coding RNA (SITA_LNC006213)". The record is from RNAcentral. Lineage: Eukaryota; Viridiplantae; Streptophyta; Magnoliopsida; Poales; Poaceae.